Molecule: long non-coding RNA, 392 nt
Filed under: Homo sapiens (human)
Lineage: Eukaryota; Metazoa; Chordata; Mammalia; Primates; Hominidae
Description: non-protein coding lnc-TRIM41-4:8
Source: RNAcentral
AGGAUUGGGGAGCACGUUUUGCGUCUUGCUGUGCGUGAGGAAGCGGGGAUCCAGGUCAAGGCUAUGGAAAGGCAGGACUUUGAAAUGACCCUGUCCUCAGCCUGGAGGAUGCGGUAUUCUGAUUGUCUGGUGCUGUGUCAACUGGGCCUGCCUCUGGGAUAGUGUUGUGGCUGCCCCACGAGAACCCUAUAUGCCAGUUCCAGAAGCAAAAACAAAAAAAGUUCGGGUACAGCGGCUCACACCUGUAAUCCCAGCUCUUAGGGAGAUGGAAACUGGAGGAUCACUUGAGGCCAGGAGUUCAAGACCAGCCUGGGCAACAUAGCAAGACCCAGUCUCUUAAAAGAAAAUUAAAAAGAAAGAGUAAAUAAAGUUCCAGAAGCUUUGCUCUCCUU